RNAcentral lists this transfer RNA (72 nucleotides) under Heterocephalus glaber (naked mole-rat). It matches the Rfam family "tRNA". From Rfam's summary of the family: Transfer RNA (tRNA) molecules are approximately 80 nucleotides in length. Their secondary structure includes four short double-helical elements and three loops (D, anti-codon, and T loops). The record is from Rfam by way of RNAcentral. Lineage: Eukaryota; Metazoa; Chordata; Mammalia; Rodentia; Bathyergidae.
GGGGAUAUAGCUCAAAGGUAGAGUAUUUGCCUAGCAUGUAGGAGGCUCUGGGUUCAAUCCCCAGCACCACCA